This 253-nucleotide ribosomal RNA is filed under the name uncultured bacterium. RNAcentral's name for it is "partial 16S ribosomal RNA". It matches the Rfam family "Bacterial small subunit ribosomal RNA", at positions 524 to 776 of the family's 1533-position model. The record is from RNAcentral.
UACGUAGGGUGCAAGCGUUGUCCGGAAUUAUUGGGCGUAAAGAGCUCGUAGGCGGUCUGUCGCGUCGGCUGUGAAAACCCGAGGCUCAACCUCGGGCCUGCAGUCGAUACGGGCAAACUAGAGUACUGCAGGGGAGACUGGAAUUCCUGGUGUAGCGGUGAAAUGCGCAGAUAUCAGGAGGAACACCGGUGGCGAAGGCGGGACUCUGGGCCGAUACUGACGCUGAGGAGCGAAAGCGUGGGGAGCAAACAGG